This 373-nucleotide ribosomal RNA is filed under the name uncultured bacterium. Its description in RNAcentral is "bacterial SSU rRNA". It matches the Rfam family "Bacterial small subunit ribosomal RNA", at positions 524 to 898 of the family's 1533-position model. The record is from RNAcentral.
UACGGAGGGUGCGAGCGUUGUCCGGAUUUAUUGGGUUUAAAGGGUGCGUAGGUGGCUUUAUAAGUCAGUGGUGAAAUACAGCCGCUCAACGGUUGAGGUGCCAUUGAUACUGUAGAGCUUGAAACAAGUGGAGGCUGCCGGAAUGGAUGGUGUAGCGGUGAAAUGCAUAGAUAUCAUCCAGAACACCGAUUGCGAAGGCAGGUGGCUACGUUUGAUUUGACACUGAGGCACGAAAGCAUGGGGAGCAAACAGGAUUAGAUACCCUGGUAGUCCAUGCCGUAAACGAUGAGGACUCGCUGUUGGACUGUCACGGUUCAGCGGCUUAGGGAAACCGUUAAGUCCUCCACCUGGGGAGUACGCCGGCAACGGUGAA